Long non-coding RNA from Manacus vitellinus (golden-collared manakin), 619 nucleotides. RefSeq lists it as uncharacterized. The record is from RefSeq and is a predicted model, not a curated record. The transcript has 3 exons. NCBI's taxonomy places the organism in Eukaryota, Metazoa, Chordata, Aves, Passeriformes, Pipridae.
GUCAUUUAAAGUGAAAUCCUGGCCUCAGAGGAGUUGGUGGGAAUUCUGAAGUGACUUCAGCAGGGGCCAUGGCUCCAUCUCUCACGUCCCCACAAGGGCACUGAGCGAGCGGAGGGGUGAGCGCUCGCGUGUAUCAAGUGCAGAAUAAAGCAGGGGGGUCAGGAGGAGGAAGUCAGGGCUCUGAACUGUGCAUUAAGCUGCUGCUGCCAAGGGACUCCUGCCAAGGAGAGGAAUAUGCACUUUACAUGCCCCAUGCACACAGUCUCUCCUUGCUCAGCGUCAAGGCCACAACGUACCGAGCGGUUUUGUGAGAAAGCAAAACACGUGUCAGGUUUCCUUGUUUACAGUCUGCCUCAUUCAGGAUCUGGAAUUCCUAAAGAGCAGUAAAACCCUACCAUGUGACUGAAGACUGAUUUCCAGGAAAAACGGAAGAGGUUCUAGGAAAGAUCUGCCUUUGUGAUGACCACUCCCAGAGCAAUCAAGCCUGAGGAAAUUUGUGUCUGAACUGAUGAAGCUCAGUUUUAUUCUCAGCUCCUCACUGGAAAUUUGAAAGUUUUUGUUCUACCUUCACUUUUUCCAUAGUGUUCCUAAUUAAAGAUCUGUGUGUUAAUUCCAUCUG